RNAcentral lists this ribosomal RNA (253 nucleotides) under uncultured bacterium. RNAcentral describes it as "partial 16S ribosomal RNA". It matches the Rfam family "Bacterial small subunit ribosomal RNA", at positions 524 to 776 of the family's 1533-position model. The record is from RNAcentral.
UACGUAGGGUGCAAGCGUUGUCCGGAAUUAUUGGGCGUAAAGAGCUCGUAGGUGGCCUGUCGCGUCGGCUGUGAAAUCUCGGGGCUCAACUCCGAGCUUGCAGUCGAUACGGGCAGGCUAGAGUUCGGCAGGGGAGACUGGAAUUCCUGGUGUAGCGGUGAAAUGCGCAGAUAUCAGGAGGAACACCGGUGGCGAAGGCGGGUCUCUGGGCCGAUACUGACACUGAGGAGCGAAAGCGUGGGGAGCGAACAGG